Molecule: long non-coding RNA, 5109 nt
Filed under: Populus trichocarpa (black cottonwood)
Lineage: Eukaryota; Viridiplantae; Streptophyta; Magnoliopsida; Malpighiales; Salicaceae
Description: long non-coding RNA (PTRI_LNC003660)
Source: RNAcentral
UUUUGUUUGUUUAUGUUCAGCAUGGUUGUGGAACAAUGAUGGUGACAUGCCAAUUUACAUCGUUUAAUAUGCAGACAGCCCUUUAUUUGGUUGGGGACUUGGUGUUGGAAUCAUGUACAUGAUGUCUACUGGGAAAGCUGAGAUUAGUAAGCUAAGCACUUCCAUGGAGGUGAUGUCAAAAGUUAUUCAUGAAUUAAGAACUGAACUCUAUAAAAGAAAAUCAGCACAUGUUGCUACAAGCUCGAAAGAUAAUAGUACUGAAAAAAUGCAACUAGUGGUUAAUAGAAAAAAACAUGGUGGAUAGAGAAUCUAGUGAUAUGAAAAUGUGUGGGCUUCCUAUUGCUGAUGAUGUUGAAUACCCGAGUAGUGUUCUCACUGAAGAGCCAGAGCCAGAGCCAGAGCCAGAGCCAGAGCCAGAGCCAGAAGUGCUUGAAAUGGAUCAACUGGAAGCACGGCUCGAGUCUGAACUCUGCAAAAACUUCCCUGGUCCGGCACUGAAGCUUCUGGACAUGAAGUAACAUGGCUAAAUUUGGGCAAGGUGAGUCCUUCAAGUACCCACUUUGAUCCUUUCUUAAAUUUACCCAAUGCUUGACUGUGUUCCUCGUUAGCAUUCUGAACCUACCUUCGAGACUUGAGAUAGAUUUGUGUAAAUUUGAUAUGAAUCACACGUGGAGUACAAGUUGAAUCACACCUGGAGCUACAUGUGAAGUGGACCAAGUCAGGUCAGGAGGAUUAUUUCAGUAAUUGUGAGUAAGGUGUCUGUUGCACUAGAAUCGGUCAAAUAAAUAAAAGGCUGUUAGUGGGUGCUCCAUGUCUUCAGAGCUAUUCUGUUAGGAGCCAAUCUGUUAGGAUUUCCUGUUUUAUUGCUAUUUUCGUGCUUUGUCAGUUGUAAUGUUGCUGGCCUAUUUAGGCAGCAAAGAAGAGGAAUAAGAGAAUCAAUCAAGCAUUUAAACAUUCUUUCCACUCUGUUAUUCUUCUUCUUCUUGUCUUACCAAAUUAAUUCUAUCAGUGGUAUUAGAGCCUUUGUUUUCGAUUCAUGGAUACACGUUCGAAAUCAAAUGCAGAAUUCCGAACUGAAGUCACCGACAUCUUAACCCGUCAGAGUCCAGCUUUGAUGAGACAAAACAAGACGUCAAUGCGAUGAAACACGACUUGAAUGAAAUAAAACAAAAUUUUUCCCAGGUUACGUCAACAUUACAGGGUGUCAUGGCUGAACUACAAGCCUUUCGACUUAGCCGCCAAGAUACUUCCAAAGACAGGGAAGGCAAUUUCUUUGAAAGAGGAGAGACGUCUGGCAGCAGUCCUACCACCAUCACACGACCAGGUUUCGAAUGAUAUCCGAAUGCUUGUGACAGAAUUCAGAAUCAGGCACCUGACAGAAUUCACCAUCAGACUCAACUCAAAUUGAAUUUUCCGAUAUAUCGUGGUGAUGAAGAUCCUACCGGGUGGAUUUUUAAGGCAGAACAAUAUUUCGAGUUCAAAGGAAUCGAACUCACGCAGCAAGUGCAAUUGGCGUCAUUCCAUCUUGAAAAGCUUGCCUUACAAUGGUAUCGCUGGUUCACAAGGGAUUGAGGUCCAAUGAAUUGGGCGGAAUUCACCAAAGUUAUUCUUAAACGCUUUGGACCUACAGACUACGAUGAUCCGUCAGAAGCUUUGUCUAGGCUCAAGCAAACUACCAGCGUUAUAGCCUACCAAGAAGUCUUCGAGCGACUCUCACAUAAGGUGGACGGGCUGCCUGAGAAUUUUUUAAUCGGUUCUUUUAUUGCAGGUUUAAAGGAUGACAUCCGGAUAGAUGUACGAGUCAAACAACCGAAAACUCUCUCAGAAACCAUCAGUGUAGCCCAUCUCAUUGAAGAAAGGAAUCUGUUGCAGCGGAAGCCCAGCUCCAAUUUUCGUUCGGCAAUGCCAAACUACAAUCAUAGGGCACAACCAACAACAACAGUGGGUCUUCUGGGACCACCUCCAAUGCAACCUGCCACCCAACCAACCGGAAACAAGUUUCCAGGUCCUAUUCGACGCAUCACCAGUCAGGAAGCCAAGGAGAGACGAGAGAAGGGGUUAUGUUUCUAUUGUGAUGACAAAUUCGCUCCUGGAAACAGGUGCAUCAGGCCACAAUUGUUCAUGAUGGAAGACAUACUCUUUGAAGAUUGUCCAGCCGAUGUAGACAUGGACAUUGAGAAUAAUGGAGAAGAGGCCAUUCCAGAAAUUUCUUUCCAUGCUCUGGCCGGAACAAAUCACCCUCAAACCUUUCGGGUGAUUGGAAAAGUAGGAAACAAAGAGGUCACGGUCCUAAUUGAUGGAGGAAGUACUCAUAACUUCAUCGAUCAAGCGGUUGUCACCAAACUGGCGUUACCAGUAAUCCGUGACAAGGUGUUUCGGGUAACUGUUGGAAACAAAGAAAUCAUUGAGUGUACCGGGCGCUGUAUGGGGCUUCUACUCACUAUCCAGGGGUUGCUAAUUCGAGCUGAUUUUUAUGUGUUGCCCGUUGCUGCAUGUCAAGCCGUUUUGGGAGUGCAAUGGCUGGAAACAUUGGGUCCGAUUGAGACAGAUUACAAACAACUUAGCAUGUCCUUCUGUCAUGCAGGGAAGUCACACACCAUUCUAGGAUUACACCGGUCUGAAUUAGCUCCCAUGACAGAAAAGGAGUUGCUGUACCACUCAGGCCCCAGAUUUUUUAUUCAUAUGAUAUCAACAACAGCCCCGCUGGAACCACCCACGCACAUUCCAGUUGACCUGCAGCGGUUGUUAACAGAGUUCGAUCAUUUGUUCAAGGAGCCAUCCGGGUUGCCGUCAGUACGAAGUCAUGAUCACCAUAUUUCUUUACUUCCAAAUCAGCCACCGGUCAGCACGCGGCCCUAUCGAUACCCCCAUUAUCAGAAAAAUGAGAUAGAAAAAUUGGUGAGUGAAUUCCUUGAAUCCGGCAUCAUCCGUCCUAGCAGGAGUCCAUUUUCGUCACCAGUUCUGUUGAUAAAAAAAUCUGAUGGCUCGUGGCGGUUUUGCGUGGAUUAUCGUGCUCUCAACGACAUCACAAUUAAAGAUAAGUUUCCAAUUCCAGUUAUUGACGAGUUAUUGGAUGAAUUGCAAGGUGCAAAAUAUUUUUCGAAGUUAGAUUUGAGGUCUGGCUAUCAUCAAAUAAGGGUUUGUGACGACGACAUCUCCAAAACUGCCUUCCGCACUCAUGACGGUCAUUACGAGUUCCUUGUGAUGCCUUUCGGUUUGACUAACGCUCCCGCAACAUUCCAGAACUUAAUGAAUGACAUUUUUCGACCUCAUUUACGGAGGUUUGUCUUGGUUUUUUUUGAUGAUAUUCUAGUGUACAGCAAGUCUUGGGACGAGCAUUUACAACAUCUUAAAGUGGUCCUCCAACUUCUAACCACUCAUCAGUUGUUUGUCAAAGCAUCCAAGUGCCAAUUUGGGGUUUUAAUGGUUGACUACUUAGGCCACCGAAUUUCAUGGGAGGGGGUUGCGGUAGACCCCAAUAAAAUCAAUUCAGUCCAACAAUGGCCUGUGCCGACUUCAGCAAAAGGGGUUCGCGGAUUCCUCGGUUUGGCAGGAUACUACAGGAAAUUCGUUCGUGAUUUUGGUUCAAUUGCUGCACCUCUAACACAGCUCUUAACCAAGGAUGGGUUUCGGUGGACAACUGAAUCUCAGGAAGCAUUUUUGAAAUUGAAGACAACGCUUAUUACUCCUCCGGUUUUGCGACUUCCAGAUUUUGAGCAGCCCUUUGUUGUCGAAUGUGAUGCAAGCGGGACAGGUCUUGGGGCUAUAUUGUCACAAAAUGAUCAACCAAUUGCGUUCUUUAGUGAAGCCUUGAAAGGGUCGGCAAAGGCACUCUCAACUUACGAUAAGGAAAUGUUGGCAGUGGUGAAAGCUGUGCGCAAGUGGCGACCGUAUUUGUUGGGCAAGCCGUUCGUCAUCAAAACCGAUCAUCAAAGUUUAAAAUACUUACUGGAGCAACGUAUUUCUACUCCUUCUCAAGCUAGAUGGCUGCCCAAACUUAUGGGAUAUGACUACACAAUACUGUACAAACGCAUUAUCGGUUGCCAAGGCCUUCGUUGCUAACAUUGUGCGGUUACAUGGUAUGCCUCUCUCAAUUGUCAGUGAUCGUGACAGAGUCUUUCUCAGCAAUUUCUGGCGGUCCCUUUUCCAGUUGCACGGCACUGCUCUUUGUUACAGCUCCAGCUAUCAUCCUCAGUCGGAUGGCCAGACCGAGGUAAUAAAUCGUAUCCUUGAGCAGUAUCUUCGCUGCUACACAUAUGAUAAUCCAAAAAAAUGGUUGGAGUGGCUGCCAUGGGCUGAGUACAGUUACAAUACAUCAGUCCAUUCAUCAACAAAAAUGUCUCCUUUCGAAGCUGUAUAUGGUGUGUCUCCGCCUUCUAUGAUUUCGUAUAUACCAGGUACUGCCAAGGUUCAGGACGUGGAUGAUAUGUUGCGUUCAAGGGACGACAUUCUUCGUGAUCUUCGAAAGAAUUUGGUUGCUGCCCAAGUUCGGAUGAAGUGUCAGGCUGAUCGUCACAGACGAGAGGUUUCCUUUGAGGUAGGAGACUAUGUUUAUUUACGUCUCCAGCCGUAUCGUCAAACAUCUGUUGCGUUCCGGAGUUCGUUGAAAUUGUCUCCUCGAUUCUUUGGUCCCUUCAAAAUUAUGGCCAAGGUAGGGACUGUGGCAUAUCGGUUGGACUUGCCCGCGGGCGCACAAAUUCACAACGUGUUCCAUGUGAGUUUACUCAGGAAACAUUUUGGUCCGCUCGAAUUACCUAUCGUGUCAUUACCUCCUGUUUCGGCUGAUGUCCAAAUUUUACCAGAACCUGAAGUUAUUUUGGAUCGAAGGGUGGUUCAGAAAGGCAAGUAUAGACCAAAAACUGAAGUAUUGGUUCAAUGGAAGGGUGCUUGCCGUGACGAUGCAACAUGGGAGAACUUAUGGCGACUUUCCAAAUCAUAUCCAGAUUUUGACCUUGAGGACAAGGUCGCUCCAAGGGAGGGGGAAUGAUAUGAAUCACACGUGGAGUACAAGUUGAAUCACACCUGGAGCUACAUGUGAAGUGGACCAAGUCAGGUCAGGAGGAUUAUUUCAGUAAUUGUGAGUAAGGUGUCUGUUGCACUAGAAUCGGU